RNAcentral lists this ribosomal RNA (486 nucleotides) under uncultured bacterium. RNAcentral's name for it is "bacterial SSU rRNA". It matches the Rfam family "Bacterial small subunit ribosomal RNA", at positions 348 to 826 of the family's 1533-position model. The record is from RNAcentral.
GCAGCAGUGGGGAAUUUUGGNCAAUGGGNGCAAGCNUGAUCCANCCAUNCNGCGUGUGUGAAGAAGGCCUUCGGGUUGUAAAGCACUUUCGGGCGGNANGAAAUCGCGCGGGCGAAUACCCCGCGUGGAUGACGGUACCGCAAGAAGAAGCACCGGCUAAAUAUGUGCCAGCAGCCGCGGUAAUACGUAGGGUGCGAGCGUUAAUUGGAAUUACUGGGGGUAAAGCGUGCGCAGGCGGCGUCGCAAGUCAGGCGUGAAAACCCCGGGCUUAACCUGGGAAUGGCGCUUGAAACUACGACGCUCGAGUGCGGCAGAGGGAGGUGGAAUUCCCCGUGUAGCGGUGAAAUGCGUAGAUAUGUGGAGGAACCCCCAUGGCGAAGGCAGCCUCCUGGGCUGACACUGACGCUCAUGCACGAAAGCGUGGGGAGCAAACAGGAUUAGAUACCCUGGUAGUUCACGCCCUAAAAGAUGUAGACUAUUUCUUCG